This is a long non-coding RNA of Corythoichthys intestinalis (scribbled pipefish), 383 nucleotides long. RefSeq lists it as uncharacterized. The transcript is spliced from 3 exons. The record is from RefSeq and is a predicted model, not a curated record. Lineage: Eukaryota; Metazoa; Chordata; Actinopteri; Syngnathiformes; Syngnathidae.
GGCGCCACAGACGAAGAAAUGACUUUUCUUUUGUUGUGGAGUAAAAACGGCUUGUAGCUCAACUUGUGUCCUCUACUCUGUCAUCACAGAGAGAAACCUGAUCGUGGUGAAAAGUGGAGGAGAUGGACGGGUGCUUGUUGAAAGAGAAGGAGAGGAAGACAGGAAGGAGAACAGAAGGGAUGCCAACACAGGACAAGUCUGAAAGGUUUUUUUUUUUUCGUCAUUAUCAAGUGACAGUUUCAUUCUCAUGCCUCCGGUGCAAUCGAUAAGCCCUGUGCAACUAAUUGAGCACUAGAUGGCAGCAACACAAGUACAAGCAAGAUAAGGUGAAUGAACUACAUACACGUAGUUCUGGGCUUUCGAACGAGUUCCAUUCCUACGCU